UGGGGAAUAUUGGACAAUGGGCGCAAGCCUGAUCCAGCCAUGCCGCGUGAGUGAUGAAGGCCCUAGGGUUGUAAAGCUCUUUCACCGGUGAAGAUAAUGACGGUAACCGGAGAAGAAGCCCCGGCUAACUUCGCGCCAGCAGCCGCGGUAAUACGAAGGGGGCUAGCGUUGUUCGGAUUUACUGGGCGUAAAGCGCACGUAGGCGGACUAUUAAGUCAGGGGUGAAAUCCCGGGGCACAACCCCGGAACUGCCUUAGAUACUGGUAGUUUUGAGUUCGGGAGAGGUGAGUGGAAUUCCGCGUGUAGAGGUGAAGAUCGUAGAUAUUCGGAGGAACACCAGUGACGAAGGCGGCUCACUGGCUCGAUACUGACGCUGAGGUGCGAAAGCGUGGGGAGCAAACAGG
Molecule: ribosomal RNA, 404 nt
Filed under: Actinomycetes bacterium
Lineage: Bacteria; Bacillati; Actinomycetota; Actinomycetes
Description: Actinobacteria bacterium partial 16S ribosomal RNA
Rfam family: Bacterial small subunit ribosomal RNA
Source: RNAcentral